AUGGAGGUCGCUGCUGGGGCGAUGGGCCCCGUCAUCCGUAAGCUCGGCGAGCUGCUCGUCGGAGAAUACAACCUAGAGAAGCGAGUAAAGAAAGGCGUACAAUCGCUCCUAAACGAGCUGGAGAUGAUGCACGCUGUACUUCGCAAGGUUGGCGAGGUGCCGUCGGAACAGCUCGAUGAGCCGGUCCGGAUUUGGGCUGGCAAGGUGAGAGACCUGUCUUGCGACAUGGAAGACGCUGUUGACGACUUCAUGGUGCGUGUGCAUGAGGGUUCAAGCAGCAAGCCUACGAACAUGAGGAAUCAAGUCAAGAAGUUUCUCAAGAAGACCACCAAACUGUUUGGCAAGGGCAAAGCACUUCAUCAAAUCAGUGAUGCCAUCAAAGAAGCUCAGGAUCUCGCCAAGGAGUUGGCGGACCUGCGUAGAAGGUACGAGCUUGACACUCGUAGCACUAGCAAUGGUGCUACCAUUGACCCUCGUGUGUUAGCUCUGCACAAAGAUGUAGGGGAGCUUGUUGGCGUUGACCGCACAAGGGAUGAGCUUAUCAAAACACUGAUUUGUGAGGAUGGGAGUUCUAAGGAGCAAUUGAAGACGAUCUCUAUUGUUGGUGUUGGUGGGCUGGGCAAGACUACACUCACCAAAGCAAUUUAUGAGAAGAUCAAAGCCCAGUUUGAAUGUGCGGCUUUUGUCCCUGUAGGGCAGAACCCUGAUAUCAAGAAAGUUUUCAAGGACUUACUCUAUGACCUGAACAAAGAAAAGUUCAAUGACAUUCAUAAUACAUCAAAGGAUGAAAAUCUCCUCAUCAAGGAAAUCAGAGAAUUCCUUGUGGAUAAGAGGUACCUUAUUGUAAUUGAUGAUAUAUGGGAAGAAGAAAUAUGGAGAUAUAUAAAUUGUGCUUUGUAUAAAAACAAACUCCAUAGUAGGGUAAUCACAACAACCCGCAAUGUGAGUGUGUCUGAAGCAUGUCUCUCUUCCAGUGAUGACAUGAUUCACAAAAUGAAACCUCUUUCUGAUGAAGACUCACAAAUACUCUUCCAUAGAAGAAUAUUUCAAAGCGAGGAGAAAUGUCCAGAAGAUUUGCAAGCAGUAUCAAGAGAGAUAUUGAAGAAAUGUGGUGGUGUACCAUUAGCCAUCAUUACAAUAGCUAGCCUUCUAGUCAGUAACCAAAGGAUAAAGCAGAAAGAAGAAUGGAUGCAUGUGCACAGUUCGAUGGGCCGUGGAGUUACAGAAGGUGGUAUUGUGAAGGACAUGAAGAGGAUAUUAUCACUCAGCUAUUAUGAUUUGCCAUCCCAUCUGAAGCCAUGUUUAUUAUAUCUAAGCAUCUUUCCUGAAGACUUUGAGAUUAAGAGAGAUUUGUUGAUAUGGAGGUGGCUUGCUGAAGGGUUUAUCCAAUGUGACAAAGAAGAAACCAGGCUGUUUGAGAUAGGAAAGAGCUACUUCAACGAGCUUAUGAACAGGAGCUUGAUCCAGCCAGCACAAAUCAAUUUGGAAGGAACGGUAGUAACUUGUCGUAUACAUGAUAUGGUGCUUGAUCUUAUAUGCUCACUGUCAAGUGAGGAGAAUUUUAUCUCCAUAUUGGAUAAUGCUGAGUGGCAUGCACCUAAUCUGCAAAGUGAGCUAUGCCAAGGGUUCAACACCUUGACUUCGAGGUCUCUGCGCCGUCGAUCGCAAGUGGUGAGGUUGACUGCGGCCUGGGGCACCUCCCUUCUCUUGAGCGUGUUCAGGUUUGUCUGGAGCGUGAGAAUUCCAGCCAUGAUGAGAUGGAGACAUCCAAGGCUUGGCUGA
Molecule: ribosomal RNA, 1782 nt
Filed under: Triticum aestivum (bread wheat)
Lineage: Eukaryota; Viridiplantae; Streptophyta; Magnoliopsida; Poales; Poaceae
Description: partial small subunit ribosomal RNA
Source: RNAcentral